CAAUCCAUUUAGUGUGAUUUGUUUUAAUUUAGUUCAAACAUUUGAGAAUACAAAAAUAUAAUUUUAAUAAAACUUAAAUGGAAGUAUGUUUAACAAAUGUGAUAAUAUUUAUAAUUACCACGUUCAUCAGCGAUUAGAUUAAAAUAGAAAAGAAGUGGAAUAUGGUACACUGUAUUGUAUCACGGCUACCCAAGGGUGUGAAGUAGAAUUGGAAUGUAAGCAGUGCAAUGUCCAGCCUCGCUUCCAACCUUUGGUUCUUGACAAUUCAUUAGACAGUAAUUAGUUCCUGACAAAUUGUUUAUCAUCACAUAGCUGGAGUAGUUUUCCAGGAGUAGUACAGCGAUUAGUUUCUAUCGUCUGACUUAAAUUUGUUUUACUGUGAUGGCAAGAAUGCAAAUUAUAAGGUUGGACUCGAGUUGUAAUCUAGACAAAAAUUCUCUAAGACAGACAGUUAUUGUUACAUAUGCUAUAUGAACUUGCAAGAGACACAAUUCACGGCUGUUCUAAAAAAUAUUUACAGAGUAUUGCUGGAAAGAAUACCAUAAAGUUGGAAGACCUAACGAGAAGGCUAACAUAGUUAAUAUUUUGAUACUGUUUUCAAGUGCAAUAUUUAAGAGAAGCAAAAUAUGAAGAAUUAUUAGCAGGAAACUGAAAAAUUCAAGAAAGAACAUGUUCACUGAAUGAUAAAACCUCUGUGUUUCAAUAUCAUCUAUGUUGUC
Molecule: long non-coding RNA, 719 nt
Organism: Anoplophora glabripennis (Asian longhorned beetle)
Lineage: Eukaryota; Metazoa; Arthropoda; Insecta; Coleoptera; Cerambycidae
Exons: 4
Source: RefSeq, a predicted model, not a curated record